RNAcentral lists this transfer RNA (69 nucleotides) under Ictidomys tridecemlineatus (thirteen-lined ground squirrel). Its description in RNAcentral is "Spermophilus tridecemlineatus (thirteen-lined ground squirrel) tRNA". It matches the Rfam family "tRNA". Rfam says of the family: Transfer RNA (tRNA) molecules are approximately 80 nucleotides in length. Their secondary structure includes four short double-helical elements and three loops (D, anti-codon, and T loops). Further hydrogen bonds mediate the characteristic L-shaped molecular structure. tRNAs have two regions of fundamental functional importance: the anti-codon, which is responsible for specific mRNA codon recognition, and the 3' end, to which the tRNAs corresponding amino acid is attached (by aminoacyl-tRNA synthetases). tRNAs cope with the degeneracy of the genetic code in two manners: having more than one tRNA (with a specific anti-codon) for a particular amino acid; and 'wobble' base-pairing, i.e. permitting non-standard base-pairing at the 3rd anti-codon position. Lineage: Eukaryota; Metazoa; Chordata; Mammalia; Rodentia; Sciuridae. The record is from Rfam by way of RNAcentral.
GGGGUUGUGGCUCAGUGGUAGAGUGCUUGCCUAGCAUGUGGGAGGUGCUGGGUUCCAUCCCCAGCACCA